Molecule: ribosomal RNA, 792 nt
Filed under: uncultured archaeon
Lineage: Archaea
Description: bacterial SSU rRNA
Rfam family: Archaeal small subunit ribosomal RNA
Source: RNAcentral
ACUGCUCAGUAACACGUGGACAACCUGCCCUUAGGUUGGGUAUAAACCCGGGAAACUGGGUAUAAUACCCGAUAGGUCUCGAUUGCUGGAAUGCAUCGAGAUUUAAAGCUCCGGCGCCUAAGGAUGGGUCUGCGGCCUAUCAGGUAGUAGUGGGUGUAGCGUACCUACUAGCCUACGACGGGUACGGGUUGUGAGAGCAAGAGCCCGGAGAUGGAUUCUGAGACACGAAUCCAGGCCCUACGGGGUGCAGCAGGCGCGAAAACUUUACAAUGCUGGCAACAGCGAUAAGGGAACCUCGAGUGCCAGGUUACAAAUCUGGCUGUCGAGAUGCCUAAAAAGCAUUUCAUAGCAAGGGCCGGGCAAGACCGGUGCCAGCCGCCGCGGUAACACCGGCGGCUCGAGUGGUAACCGUUAUUAUUGGGUCUAAAGGGUCUGUAGCCGGCCGGAUAAGUCUCUUGAGAAAUCUGGCAGCUUAACUGUCAGGCUUUCAGGAGAUACUGUCUGGCUCGAGGCCGGGAGAGGUGAGAGGUACUUCAGGGGUAGGGGUGAAAUCUUGUAAUCCUUGAAGGACCACCAGUGGCGAAGGCGUCUCACCAGAACGGACCUGACGGCAAGGGACGAAAGCUAGGGGCACGAACCGGAUUAGAUACCCGGGUAGUCCUAGCCGUAAACGAUACUCGCUAGGUGUCGGCCACGGUGCGACCGUUGUCGGUGCCGUAGGGAAGCCGUGAAGCGAGCCACCUGGGAAGUACGGCCGCAAGGCUGAACUUAAAGGAAUUGGCGGGGGAGCAC